UUUUGUCCACCCCCAUUUGAUUAUAUGUGUUUUCCUCUCCAAUGUCCAUCCCUAUAAACUAAUCCGUGGCAAUGGAGGUGGUUCUAGGUUGCAAAGAUUUUGAAGAUUCUAAGGCUGCAAGGACAUCAACACGCCCUGGGGCGGAUCUAUGAAGGAGGGAGGGGUAGCCCGGACUACCCCUCAACCAUCGGCGACUAAGCAGUCAGCGAGUGAACGGGUUAACGGGUCCGCGAGUUAACGAGUUUGCGAGUUAACGGGAUGAGCUACAUAGAUCAGAAGGUUCCGGAGACGUUAUAUGUGAAAAUAUGUUGGAAAAGGAGUAGAUGAAUACUCGACUGCGGAUAUGGAUGGCAUUCGCGAAGAUUGGUCGACUUAU
Molecule: long non-coding RNA, 376 nt
Filed under: Helianthus annuus (common sunflower)
Lineage: Eukaryota; Viridiplantae; Streptophyta; Magnoliopsida; Asterales; Asteraceae
Description: sRNA HanXRQr2_Chr10g0446431
Source: RNAcentral